RNAcentral lists this long non-coding RNA (1458 nucleotides) under Numida meleagris (helmeted guineafowl). RNAcentral's name for it is "lncRNA (ENSNMEG00000004922.1)". Lineage: Eukaryota; Metazoa; Chordata; Aves; Galliformes; Numididae. The record is from RNAcentral.
UUAAUGCAUUAAAAUGACCUAUGUUUUGGAUGGGCUGGAGGAUAAAAUGAGAAAACAAUGAUUGUUAUAUUAAUAAGCACAUAUCUCUAACCUAAAGCCACUUCUUUUCCACCUACUUCCUUUUUUUUUUUCCUUUUUUUUUUCCUUUUUUUUUUUUUUUUUUGUGAAUGUGACAGAUGCAGAAAAUUUCCUGGUAGCUUAAACAAACAUAUGGCAACCAAAUAUUUUUGGAAAGGUGCUCACAAAAAGCUCUCUCUCCUGUAUCAUGUAUUAGCAAUACCCUGUACAUUGUCUAGGAAAGUUCCAUGGCCAUAACAGUUGUAGGACAUAGGUGGCUGAAAAGAUUCACAGUGUACUUUGGGCCAAGAUGCAUAUUUCUGUUCUGCAUUAGUAUUAUAGUCUAUGCAAAAUAAUCUAUUUAUUUUAGUAUCUGUGUUUUAUUUCUGUAACUCCACCUACAGCUAUUCCUUGAAUGGUUUAAAAAUGUAUGCUCACAGCCCUAGGAUUGCCUACAGCUGCCUGCAUCAAGACACAGAUGGUGUUUGAGCAGCUAACCCGUGUUUCAUUAAUACAUUUGAGCCAUGUCUGCUGACAGUUCCUCCUUCACCAUUCUGAUAUGCAUAUUUUAUUGAGAAAACACUCUCCUUGCUGCUCAUUAGUCAACAGUAGUUUAUGGAGGGUAUGAGUGUCAGUGACAUACACUGCUCCAGAUUCCAAAUGCCUCAAAGACUGAGUAAACUCACAUUCAAGAGUUUGGGCAAUUUGAUGGUGUUUUUUUUAUGCUAAUCCAUCGGUAAAAUCAGACUGAAAAAAUUUAAGCAUCUUCCCUGACCGUGUGUCAUUUGGGAUGUUUCCCUGCAGGCAGAAAGGGGCUGGCAGAGCGCUGCAGGACCUGCUGCUGCCUUUAUUUAAGGGAAGGUUUGGCACAGAAAUACUCCCAACACUGGGUGCUGCGCUUCUUGCAAGCUUCCACAUGGUGGCACAGACGGUUCACUCUUCCAAACCUCUCCGCCGGGCUGCAGGAGGAAGAAAACCUGCAGUGGAAAAAGGAAGAUCGAUUUACAGAAGGAGAAAAUCACUGGGAAGUAAAAGUGGAGCUUCUAAGAUAUCUGACCAGCUCUUCUUAACUGACACUGAGUCAGUUCAAGAUUUACAUGUAUUUCUGAUUCCCAGAGAGCCUUAACAAGCACGGAUGUUUCUGGCACCUCUCCACAUCUGGGAUGUGUUGCACUUCCAGGGCAGGCUGUUCUGCCCAACACCUUGGUACCCAGAAGGAAUUACAACUCACCUGGACAUGUAUGCCAGCCUUCAUUCGUUUGGCUGGUGAGCUGAUGAAUUACAGCACGUAUCCACUUUUGUAGAGACAUACUGGUGCUUGGUAAAUCAAAAGGAAGUCCCUGGAUUUCCUCACUUUGCCCACCAUAAUGCACAAUAAAAAUUACACCCUUUGAACUUUCA